This 468-nucleotide ribosomal RNA is filed under the name uncultured bacterium. Its description in RNAcentral is "partial 16S ribosomal RNA". It matches the Rfam family "Bacterial small subunit ribosomal RNA", at positions 28 to 507 of the family's 1533-position model. The record is from RNAcentral.
GACGAACGCUGGCGGCGUGCUUAACACAUGCAAGUCGAACGGAAAGGCCCUGCGUUUGUGGGGUGCUCGAGUGGCGAACGGGUGAGUAACACGUGAGUAACCUGCCCUUGACUUUGGGAUAACUUCAGGAAACUGGGGCUAAUACCGGAUAGGAGCUCCUGCUGCAUGGUGGGGGUUGGAAAGUUUCGGCGGUUGGGGAUGGACUCGCGGCUUAUCAGCUUGUUGGUGGGGUAGUGGCUUACCAAGGCUUUGACGGGUAGCCGGCCUGAGAGGGUGACCGGCCACAUUGGGACUGAGAUACGGCCCAGACUCCUACGGGAGGCAGCAGUGGGGAAUAUUGCACAAUGGGCGGAAGCCUGAGGCAGCAACGCCGCGUGCGGGAUGACGGCCUUCGGGUUGUAAACCGCUUUCGCCUGUGACGAAGCGUGAGUGACGGUAAUGGGUAAAGAAGCACCGGCUAACUACGUG